GAGACCCGUGCCCACUGUUACCAGCAUGUCCUCCGGGGUGGAUGGGUACUCUGUGGGGACCGCCGGUGUUAAAUCGGAGGAAGGUGCGGGCCACGGUAGGUCAGUAUGCCCCGAAUUUCCCGGGCUACACGCGGGCUACAAUGAAUGGGACAAUGGGUCCCUCCCCUGAAAAGGGCUGGUAAUCUCACAAACCCAUCCUUAGUUCGGAUCGAGGGCUGUAACUCGCCCUCGUGAAGCUGGAAUCCGUAGUAAUCGCGUUUCAAUAGAACGCGGUGAAUACG
RNAcentral lists this ribosomal RNA (281 nucleotides) under uncultured bacterium. RNAcentral's name for it is "partial 16S rRNA". It matches the Rfam family "Archaeal small subunit ribosomal RNA", at positions 1047 to 1326 of the family's 1478-position model. The record is from RNAcentral.